UAAAAGUUUUAUUCUUGCUUAAUUAUUUAUUAUGUGUUUUUUUUACAUGUAAAUUUAUGUGUUUAGAUUAAUUUAAAUCUUAAAGAUUUUUAUUAUAAUUAAAGUCGCAGUAUUUAAUUUUAAUAAUCAAAGAAAUUUGGAAUUAGAAAUAUACUUUAAUAUUGGUUAAAUUCGUGCCAGCAGCCGCGGUUAUACGAUAUAUGUAAAUAAAUAUUUUUAGUAAUAUAGUUAUUGUGAAUUAAUUUUUAACUUAAAUUUUAAAUUAUAAGGUGAAAUUUUUAAUUUAUAUUUAAUUUAAAUUAAUAGAUUUUGAAGCUAUUAAAUUUUAAUAAUAAACUAGGAUUAGAUACCCUAUUAUUUAGAAUGUAAAUAAUAAAAUACUUGAGUAGUAGUAGUUAUUUUCUUGAAACUUAAAGAAUUUGGCGGUGUUUUAGUCUUUUCAGAGGAACCUGUCCUGUAAACGAUAUUCCACGAAGAUCUUACUUAAUUUUGUAUAGUUUGUAUACCGCCGUUAUCAGAAUAUUUUUUAAGAAUUUUAAUUUUCUAAAUUUUUUAUUUAAAAUUAUUUCAGGUCAAGGUGCAGUUUAUAAUUAAGAAGAGAUGGGUUACAAUAAAAUAAUUUAUACGAAUUUUUUUUUGUAAAAAUUGAAUGAAGGUGGAUUUGAAAGUAAAAUAUAUAAUUAAAUAUAUUUGAUUUUAGCUCUAAAACGUGUACACAUCGCCCGUCGCUCUCGUUGAUUUAAAAAUGAGAUAAGUCGUAACAUAGUAGAUGUACUGGAAAGUGUAUCUAGAAAGUA
Molecule: non-coding RNA, 797 nt
Filed under: Megaxyela euchroma
Lineage: Eukaryota; Metazoa; Arthropoda; Insecta; Hymenoptera; Xyelidae
Source: RNAcentral